UCUUUAUGUAGUCUUUAGGUCUCUCUUUAUGUAGUGUUGGGAUGUCUCUCUUUAUGUAGUGUUGGGUUGUCUCUCUUUAUGUAGUCUUUAGGUCUCUCUUUAUGUAGUGUUGGGUUGUCUCUCUACUGAUGUCAUUAGUUUUGAGUUAUUAUUUAGCAGUCAUUUUUGAAGACAGGUCAAAGGUUACAGAGGCUCCUCACUGUGUUAGAGGUUACAGUAUAAAGAUACACAUCAUGUUAACCUGGUGGAGGCUCCUCACUGUGUUAGAGGUUACAGUAUAAAGAUACACAUCAUGUUGACCUGGUGGAGGCUCCUCACUGUGUUAAGAGGUUACAGUAUAAAGAUACACAUCAUGUUGACCUGGUGGAGGCUCCUCACUGUGUUAGAGGUUACAGUAUAAAGAUACACAUCAUGUUGACCUGGUGGAGGCUCCUCACUGUGUUAAGAGGUUACAGUAUAAAGAUACACAUCAUGUUGACCUGGUGGAGGCUCCUCACUGUGUUAGAGGUUACAGUAUAAAGAUACACAUCAUGUUGACCUGGUGGAGGCUCCUCACUGUGUUAGAGGUUACAGUAUAAAGAUACACAUCAUGUUGACCUGGUGGAGGCUCCUCACUGUGUUAGAGGUUACAGUAUAAAGAUACACAUCAUGUUGACCUGGUGGAGGCUCCUCACUGUGUUAGAGGUUACAGUAUAAAGAUACACAUCAUGUUGACCUGGUGGAGGCUCCUCACUGUGUUAGAGGUUACAGUAUAAAGAUACACAUGUUGACCUGGUGGAGGCUCCUCACUGUGUUAGAGGUUACAGUAUAAAGAUACACAUCGUGUUGACCUGGUGGAGGCUCCUCACUGUGUUAGAGGUUACAGUAUAAAGAUACACAUCAUGUUGACCUGGUGGAGGCUCCUCACUGUGUUAGAGGUUACAGUAUAAAGAUACACAUCAUGUUGACCUGGUGGAGGCUCCUCACUGUGUUAGAGGUUACAGUAUAAAGAUACACAUGUUGACCUGGUGGAGGCUCCUCACUGUGUUAGAGGUUACAGUAUAAAGAUACACAUCAUGUUGACCUGGUGGAGGCUCCUCACUGUGUUAGAGGUUACAGUAUAAAGAUACACAUCAUGUUGACCUGGUGGAGGCUCCUCACUGUGUUAGAGGUUACAGUAUAAAGAUACACAUCAUGUUGACCUGGUGGAGGCUCCUCACUGUGUUAGAGGUUACAGUAUAAAGAUACAUCAUGUUGACCUGGUGGAGGCUCCUCACUGUGUUAGAGGUUACAGUAUAAAGAUACACAUCAUGUUGACCUGGUGGAGGCUCCUCACUGUGUCCCCUCCCCACUUCAGGACGUUCUCUUGGGGCUCGAGCUGCCUCUGCUCUGGCCAGGCAGCUCAGUGUUCGACCAGAGGAUGCAGUAGCAGGCCUCGUCUGUCUGUCCUUCCCCUACACCCUCCAGGACAGACCCACGGCCAUCGCCAGCGGAGCGAGGACCUCCGGGGUUGCCUACGGAGGUGCCUGUGUUGUUUCUGUCUGGCACUGCAGACAACAUGUGUGAGAAGAUCCUUCUGGAGGAUGUCGUUAAAGAGAUGAGGUGUCCAACGACUGUUCGCUGGGUGGAAGGAGGCAACCAUGGGCUCAUAGUGAAGGGAAGGACAGAGGAGUCUGUCCAGGAUGAACUCAACGCACAUGUCUUAUCAUGGAUUUUGGAACGAAUUGCAUGAAGCUGACUCUUUGAUUCUAAACAAACUACUCUUUGAUUCUAAACGAAUUACUCUUGAUUCUAAACGAAUUACUCUUGAUUCUAAA
Long non-coding RNA from Oncorhynchus nerka (sockeye salmon), 1796 nucleotides. RefSeq lists it as uncharacterized. The record is from RefSeq and is a predicted model, not a curated record. The transcript has 2 exons. Lineage: Eukaryota; Metazoa; Chordata; Actinopteri; Salmoniformes; Salmonidae.